Molecule: long non-coding RNA, 196 nt
Organism: Nannospalax galili (Upper Galilee mountains blind mole rat)
Lineage: Eukaryota; Metazoa; Chordata; Mammalia; Rodentia; Spalacidae
Exons: 2
Source: RefSeq, a predicted model, not a curated record
GGAAGCAGACAUUGUGUUGCUCGUGGAUGGGUCAUGGAGCAUUGGCCGAGUGAAUUUUAGAACUGUGAGAAGUUUCAUUUCUCGUAUUGUGGAAGUCUUUGAGGUUGACCCCAAAAGAGUACAGAUUGCCCUUGCUCAGUACAGUGGAGACCCCAGGACAGAGUGGCAAUUAAACGCUUACAGAGACAAGAAGAGU